RNAcentral lists this transfer RNA (76 nucleotides) under Candidatus Lambdaproteobacteria bacterium RIFOXYC1_FULL_56_13. RNAcentral's name for it is "tRNA-Lys". It matches the Rfam family "tRNA". Rfam says of the family: Transfer RNA (tRNA) molecules are approximately 80 nucleotides in length. Their secondary structure includes four short double-helical elements and three loops (D, anti-codon, and T loops). The record is from RNAcentral. Lineage: Bacteria; Pseudomonadati; Pseudomonadota; Candidatus Lambdaproteobacteria. RNAcentral also lists the same sequence under 2 other names.
GGGCCGGUAGCUCAGCUGGUAGAGCACCUGACUUUUAAUCAGGUUGUCGCGGGUUCGACCCCCGCCCGGCUCACCA